Molecule: ribosomal RNA, 1321 nt
Filed under: Phoronis psammophila
Lineage: Eukaryota; Metazoa; Phoronida; Phoronidae
Description: large subunit ribosomal RNA
Rfam family: Eukaryotic large subunit ribosomal RNA (bases 597-1321)
Source: RNAcentral
UUAAAAUAUUACAAUGUGCAAAUAUUUAUGUAAUCAUAAGCAUAAAAAAGGUAAGUAAUAGUGAUUGAGCACCUAUAGAAUUGUGUCUGAAAAGAAUAAAAUAAUAAAAAUUUUAGUAUAGGUUUAAACUAGUACCUUUUGGAUCAUGGGUUAGCAAGAAAUAAAAGUAUUUUUUCUCCCGAAAAGAGCUGAUCUAUUUUAGUGUAGUUAAGAACUUACUCGUACUUGUGGAAAAACGUAGGGAAAACACUAAGAUAGAAAUGAAACAUUAAACGAAGCUUUUAAUAGCUGGUUUUUAAGGAAAAGUAUUUUAGUGCUGUUUAUUUUUAUAUUAACUUAUAUAAAGAAAUCUUAAAAAUAAGUGAACUAAGAAGGGGAUAAGCUCUUUUUGGUCAGUUUUACCUAAAAUAAGAACAUAAUUUUAAAGUAGGCCUAAAAUUAGCCUAAUUAACAACUUUGUUACUAAAUAAUAAAUUGUCUUUGUCAAAAUUAUAUUUAUAGGGUGAAAAAUAUACUUAAAAAUCUUAUAAAACUUUUAUGUUUAAUAAUUAUUAUGCUAAUAUGAGUAUUAAAGAAUGUAAUAAAUCUAGGCUUACAUCAGUAAUCUGUAGAAAAAGAACUCGGCAAAUCAACUAUUUCAACUGUUUAAUAAAAACAUAGUCUUUUGAAUUUAUAAAAGGUGAUACCUGCCCGGUGAGUCAAUCUUUAACGGCCGCAGUAUUUUGACUGUGCAAAGGUAGCAUAAUAAUUUGUCCUAUAAUUGAAGACUGGAAUGAAUGGUUUUAUGAAAAUAAAGCUGUCUCUUCUACACAAGGAAAAAAUUAUUUUAAAAGUUAAAAAACUUUUAUUAAAAAGAGGGACGAGAAGACCCUAUUAAGCUUUAGUAAAUUAUCUUNAUUAUAGCUUUCUAUUUGAUAGAUUUAGAGUAAGAAUAAUUACUUUGAUUGGGGUGAUCAAGGAAUAAAAAAACUUCCUUUAUUUAAAGUCAGGAUACUAUAAUGACCCAGUAUUUUUGUUUGUUAAACUAAGUUACUAUAGGGAUAACAGCGUAAUUUCUUUUAAAAGUUCUCAUUAAAAAAGAAGUUUGCGACCUCGAUGUUGGACUAAGAAAACUUUUAGGUGCAGCAGCUUAAAAAGUAAGUCUGUUCGACUUUUAAUUUCUUACAUGAUCUGAGUUUAAACCGGUGAAAGCCAGGUUGGCUUCUAUCUUCUUAGAAUUUAGUUUUAGUACGAAAGGAUUAAACUAUAUUAAAAAUUUUACUUUUUCGAAUGAAAAAUAAUGUAAUGCUAUAUUAAGUUUAUUGGAAUAAUAAAGUUGUCA